UACCUGCAGCUCAAGUGGUGAUCAUUAUUAUUGGGCCUAAAACGUCCGUGGCCGGUUUAGUAAAUGCCUGGGUAAAUCGUGUAGCUUAACUAUACGACUUCCGGGUAGACUACUAAACUUGAGACCGGGAGAGGCUAGAGGUACUCCUGGGGUAGAGGUGAAAUUCUGUAAUCCUAGGGGGACCACCAGUGGCGAAGGCGUCUAGCUAGAACGGGUCUGACGGUGAGGGACGAAGCCCUGGGGCACAAACCGGAUUAGAUACCCGGGUAGUCCAGGGUGUAAACGCUGCUUGCUUGAUGUUAGUUGGGCUCCGAGCCCAACUAGUGUCGGAGAGAAGUUGUUAAGCAAGCUGCCUGGGAAGUACGGUCGCAAGGCUGAAACUUAAGGAAUUGGCGGGGAGCACAGCAACGGGUGGAGCGUGCGGUUU
This 427-nucleotide ribosomal RNA is filed under the name uncultured archaeon. Its description in RNAcentral is "bacterial SSU rRNA". It matches the Rfam family "Archaeal small subunit ribosomal RNA", at positions 474 to 903 of the family's 1478-position model. The record is from RNAcentral.